CCUACGGGUGACAGCAGUGAGGAAUAUUGGUCAAUGGACGAGAGUCUGAACCAGCCAAGUAGCGUGAAGGAUGACUGCCCUAUGGGUUGUAAACUUCUUUUAUAUGGGAAUAAAACGUUCCACGUGUGGGAUUUUGUAUGUACCAUAUGAAUAAGGAUCGGCUAACUCCGUGCCAGCAGCCGCGGUAAUACGGAGGAUCCGAGCGUUAUCCGGAUUUAUUGGGUUUAAAGGGAGCGUAGGUGGAUUGUUAAGUCAGUUGUGAAAGUUUGCGGCUCAACCGUAAAAUUGCAGUUGAAACUGGCAGUCUUGAGUACAGUAGAGGUGGGCGGAAUUCGGGGUGUAGCGGUGAAAUGCUUAGAUAUCACGAAGAACUCCGAUUGCGAAGGCAGUUCACUGGACUGCAACUGACACUGAGGCUCGAAAGUGUGGGUAUCAAACAGGAUUAGAUACCCUUGUAGUC
RNAcentral lists this ribosomal RNA (460 nucleotides) under uncultured bacterium. Its description in RNAcentral is "partial 16S ribosomal RNA". It matches the Rfam family "Bacterial small subunit ribosomal RNA", at positions 338 to 795 of the family's 1533-position model. The record is from RNAcentral.